AGUGCCGCUGUUUGUUGAUGUUCUCUCUCUAGAUUGAGACUCCGCCCUAGAUGCACGCAGGUAAUCAGCACUCAAUUCAUUGAUAGAUUAAGGUAAUUCAUUCCAAGGGGUAUAUUAAAGUGGUGUCACCGGAGAUUGCGUGAAUGUGCGACCGCGUUCUAGCACGUCAUUAUUUUUGCGACUGUCUGGUGCUCUGGCUGAGGUUCUGGGCUGUUUGCAGAAAAGCACUCGUUGUGCUGAGGGUUGCAUGCCUGGCAACACGCGCUGGUUGCCGUAGACGACCGUUUCGGGUAUGAAUUGCAUUCAGCAUCGGGGGUGUAUUGCUGCUUGACUUCCUGCUUAUCAUGACUGUUCAUCUCUUGCCGACUGGACGAGUGGCGCGAUCUCCGCAUGUUUGGUAUGUGCCAGCAAUUGUACAAUAGUAAAUUAAUGCUAUGCAUAUUUUAGCUCAUAGUCAGGCUUUUGCAGGUGACUUGAUCUGCCGUUUUAAGGGCACUUGAAGACUACACUUACCGGCUCUAGGACUUGUCGU
Pimephales promelas (fathead minnow) is the source of this 532-nucleotide non-coding RNA. The record is from RefSeq and is a predicted model, not a curated record. NCBI's taxonomy places the organism in Eukaryota, Metazoa, Chordata, Actinopteri, Cypriniformes, Leuciscidae.